RNAcentral lists this ribosomal RNA (116 nucleotides) under Saimiri boliviensis boliviensis (Bolivian squirrel monkey). Lineage: Eukaryota; Metazoa; Chordata; Mammalia; Primates; Cebidae. The record is from RNAcentral.
GUCCACAGCAAUGCCACCCUGAACAUACCUGAUCUCCUGUGAUCUUGGAAGCUAAGUGGGUUGGGUCCAGUUAGCACUUGGAUGAGAGUACCUGGGAAUACCAGGUGCUGUAGACU